GAUGAACGCUAGCUACAGGCUUAACACAUGCAAGUCGAGGGGAAACGACAUCGAAAGCUUGCUUUUGAUGGGCGUCGACCGGCGCACGGGUGAGUAACGCGUAUCCAACCUGCCCACCACUUGGGGAUAACCUUGCGAAAGUAAGACUAAUACCCAAUGAUAUCUCUAGAAGACAUCUGAAAGAGAUUAAAGAUUUAUCGGUGAUGGAUGGGGAUGCGUCUGAUUAGCUUGUUGGCGGGGUAACGGCCCACCAAGGCAACGAUCAGUAGGGGUUCUGAGAGGAAGGUCCCCCACAUUGGAACUGCGACCCGGUCCAAACUCCUACGGGAGGCAGCAGUGAGGAAUAUUGGUCAAUGGACGAGAGUCUGAACCAGCCAAGUAGCGUGCAGGAAGCCGGCCCUAUGGGUUGUAAACUGCUUUUAUAAGGGAAUAAAGUGAGUCUCGUGAGACUUUUUGCAUGUACCUUAUGAAUAAGGACCGGCUAAUUCCGUG
This 492-nucleotide ribosomal RNA is filed under the name uncultured bacterium. Its description in RNAcentral is "partial 16S ribosomal RNA". It matches the Rfam family "Bacterial small subunit ribosomal RNA", at positions 28 to 507 of the family's 1533-position model. The record is from RNAcentral.